AUGGCCACGCAUCAGGUGGAGCUAGGCGCUUCUCUGCACCAAGGCGGCAACAUCCGUCGCCUAUCCAGACGCCUCGCUGAUCCUGCCCAAUCCACCUGGGCGUCACUGCACAUAGACCUGCUCGAGCUGAUUGCCAGUUGGGUACUUGCCAGCGACCUGCUGGACUACAUUCGGUUUCGUGCAGUGUGCUUACGAUGGCGUGUCAUGACUCCUUGCCCACGCGGUCGAGGCGUGGUCGACCCGUGCUUCCAGUCACGUCAGUGGAUGAUGUUCCCAGAGGGUGGCGGGUUGUACCCGGGCCACCCUGGACUACUUGGUUACCUGGCCAAGUUAGGGUGCUUCAUCAGUGACUUUAACAAGAUUCAACACACCCGGUUUGUCCGCGCGUCUGUCUCCGUCAAUCUGGUUGGCACUGUCAGCAUGAUGCUCGCAUUGACUAGCCUUGAUCGUGUGGUGUAUGCAUCCACCGGUAACCGGCAGUGGACUCCUACGAGCUGGAAAAUGAAGCACUUGUACUCGGCAUUGCCAUUCGGUGGCAGCCUCUAUGUGGUGGAUGGAGGGUGGGGUCUCGAACCAUCGCGCAUCCUGCGCAUCGAUCCUCCAGAAGAUUCCAACCCCUCCUCAUGGUCAGUGAUACCACCGCAAAUGGUCACCCAAUGUCCAGUGGAACUGUUGAGGAUGCCUCAACUGGCAGAGUGCAACUCCGAGCUGCUUUUGGUUGGCUAUGACAAUAGACACUCAAGGAUUGUGCUUUUCUGGGUUGCUGACCUUCUAAAGGGAGUCACCACCAUGCAACUGACAAGCAUCGGUGAUCAAGCCAUCUUCAUCGGCGGACGGAACAUGGUUGUUAACUCCAAGAGCCUGCCAUCCGUCCAGGGGAACUCCAUCACCAUUUUCAAUGAAAUAGGUGGUGGUCUUGCAGGCAGGGGAACUCUACCGCUAUACGAUCUUGGCAGCGGUACCUGGUCACAGGGGUUUGACGGACACUUUCUCGAUGGACCCAUGCCUAGGCCGUACAGCCUUGUCCUCCACGUCGCAACCUGCUGCCAGCGCCUUUUCUGGAACAGUGGGAAAAUCAUGUGUUUCAACACAGACGUAGGACUAGGAGCCGAGGAGUGA
This 1119-nucleotide ribosomal RNA is filed under the name Triticum aestivum (bread wheat). RNAcentral's name for it is "partial small subunit ribosomal RNA". The record is from RNAcentral. Lineage: Eukaryota; Viridiplantae; Streptophyta; Magnoliopsida; Poales; Poaceae.